GAACGAACGCUGGCGGCGUGCUUAACACAUGCAAGUCGAACGCGAAAGGGACUUCGGUCCUGAGUAAAGGUGGCGCACGGGUGAGUAACGCGUAGAUAACCUGUCUUCAUGUCUGGAAUAAUACGCCGAAAGGGGUACUAAUACCGGAUAUUCUUGCUUUUCAUAAGUUAUGCAAGCAAAGGUGGCCUCUGCAUAUGCUACUGCAUGAAGAGGGGUCUGCGUACCAUUAGCUAGUAGGUGGGGUAAUGGCCUACCUAGGCGACGAUGGUUAGCGGGUCUGAGAGGAUGAUCCGCCACACUGGCACUGGAACACGGGCCAGACUCCUACGGGAGGCAGCAGUGAGGAAUAUUGCGCAAGUGGGGGAAACCCUGACGCAGCGACGCCGCGUGAGUGAGGAAGGCCUUCGGGUCGUAAAGCUCUGUCAAGAGGAAAGAAGUGUACAAUGGCUAAUACCUGUUGUAUUUGACGGUACCUCUAAAGGAAGCACCGGCUAACUCCGUGCCAGCCGCAGC
Molecule: ribosomal RNA, 513 nt
Filed under: uncultured bacterium
Lineage: Bacteria
Description: bacterial SSU rRNA
Rfam family: Bacterial small subunit ribosomal RNA
Source: RNAcentral